Molecule: ribosomal RNA, 253 nt
Filed under: uncultured bacterium
Lineage: Bacteria
Description: partial 16S ribosomal RNA
Rfam family: Bacterial small subunit ribosomal RNA
Source: RNAcentral
UACGGAGGGGGCUAGCGUUGUUCGGAAUUACUGGGCGUAAAGCGCGCGUAGGCGGACCUGCAAGUCGGGGGUGAAAGCCCGAGGCUCAACCUCGGAACUGCCUUCGAUACUGCGGGUCUCGAGUCCGGGAGAGGUGAGUGGAAUUCCUGGUGUAGCGGUGAAAUGCGCAGAUAUCGGGAAGAACACCCGUGGCGAAGGCGGUUCUCUGGGACGGUACUGACGCUGAGACGCGAAAGCGUGGGGAGCGAACAGG